GGCACCCUAACAUCGAGAGGAAUGAAGUAAAGAAGAAAAUGUUGAAGCCAUGAAAAUCAUUUCUGGAAGAUCCAAAUGGACAAUAAGGUAUCUAUGGUAAUUGGUUUUGUUAUUUGUCAACUCAUUUAUUUAGGAUAGUGUACAGGAAGAGUAACAUGAUUACCAAGAACACCUAAAGAGUUUCAUGUCUAAAAAAAUAACAUCGAUCCUGGGAAGCCUUGAAUCAGCAUAAGGCACAGCUUGAGUGGCUGAAACUCCUGAAGGAACUCUGGAUUCCUGAAUUCUUGUUCUCUACUCAGAGAAUCUGAAUGUUGAAAGCUACCACUUCUUAUGAACUGUGAGACUGUCUAAAACUAACUCUGGGCAUAAUCAAAGAAGAGUUAAUAUACAUCAUAAGAUAAAUAAAUCACUGCAAUUCAGUAUGUAGGAGUGAUUGUCAACAAAAUAUAUGACCUUUGGACAUAAAAACACCUGCAAGAUUAGUCUUCUAGACUUCAUCCUAGAGCUCACUAUUGAGAAACAAAAAAAGACAUAUUUAUAGUUCUUCUCAUGGCUAGAGCAGUAUUUUCUGUUAUCUUUUAAGCAGAUGGACAUUUAAAAAACUGUAAAACAUCAUUACGCACGAAACAUGUUAUGCCAGGCAGACUUGAAGUGACAGACAUUCUACAAACAAACAGCAGAAAUAUGGGAAAAUAUUACAACUUCAGUGCAAAAUUAUCAAAGGUCUUCAGAAGUGUUCUUAUAUCUCAGUAACACAGAUGAUAAAAUAAGUUACAAAUAAAGCUUACUGCUUAAAGACAAGGCUUACAUUUCAUAAAUUUAAAUUAAACAGCAAAUGAGCAAGCACAUAAGAAAUAUCAUCCUUCUUUAACACUUAGUUGUGAAAGAAUUUGUAGAUCUGAGAUGAAAUAAGAAACUGUUAUCCAAUCUAAAAAUGUAACAAUUAGUUGCAGGAAUAUAUGAGAACCUGGGGGGGGGGGGGUGUUACACUCCUCCAUUGUUCUUUGCAAGGCAUUUGAGUGUUUGAGUGUGGUAAUUUGGCUUGCAAUUUACUUGAGUGACACAAGAUUCGUACUUGCAAUUAGGAACCAUAAGUACAAGUUUCCUGUAGCACUUCCUGGUAGGGAAUUUCACAGGGACAAUUUUACAUGUGUCUCAACCACUGGGUCCAAUCUCUUGACUUAUCUGAGCCACACUGAGUGAAGAUGAAUUGUCUUGGGACACAUAAAUUAGAUAUAUAAUAUCUUUAAUGUAUGUAAGUAACAAAAUGUUUUAAUAUAUAUAUAAACUAUCUCUUUACAAAAAAAGAAAAUCAGACUCUUAAUUACUUCAUAUCUCAUUAUACUUUUUCUUUUCACUUAUUUGGAACUCCUUUCUUGUUUCCAUUCAGUCUGACAAAACCAAACUACGUUUCUCUAAAAAUUACUACAUGAUUACAAUAAUAAUGCAAACAAUACAAAAUAUAUUCAAGGUCAGUUUUUUAGUACAAUACAAGUUCGCAUGUCAAGUAUCAUAGUAUAUCUGUACGGGAUACAAUACAAUCUUUUAAGCCCUUUUACACAUAAUUCAUCCCUUCUGUUAUAGAAGGGAGAAAGUCUAUGAGGCUUUUAAGAACAUCAUUCAGCUCAUCCACAUGAAUUGGGUAAUGGUGAUAACCAUAUUGAAAAGUAAUACUUUGUAGCUGAGAAUUUGCUCUAUCAAGUAGUGUUAACAUGCUCUUUGUAUGUGUUGUAGUUUCCACGGAAAUAAAUAGGAGGCAUUACUUGAUUUCGGUGCCAUUUUUAUCAUGCUAUGAACUACUCUUUGACUUAAGAUCAGUUCAUAUAAGGUUGUCAUACUAAGUAUGUAUACAGUACUACUGGGGUUCCCUUCCACCCUACCCCCUCAACUUCAAAAUCAAGCCUUAUAUGUUAAUUGGAUCAUCCUACCUUCUAAAAGCACAUAAUACUUGAAAUACAUUCAGGAUACAAGAUGGCAAAUGCAAAAUUCUUUCCAAUAAUAAUCUGGUAUUUUACUGAAACAGAAAAUAAAAAAAACUCUCAGCACUGAAUGAGUAAUAUUGACAUGAAUGGUAUACAGUUUCUCCACAUUUAAAUAAAUACUGAGCAGUUUUGCUUCAGUAAUCUGAUACAGUCAUAUUCCAGUCUUUCAAACAAUUCAAAACAAGAUUAUAUGUUGCCAGACUGAAUUUGAAGAAAGACAUAUAAAACUCCAUUUCUGUAAUCAUAAAUCAGAAAUGAUUCCCGGAAAUAACUGAAAGUAUUCGAGAGAAGCAGAGUUUUCUUCCCAAUUUAAGCAUAGAUGAACUAAAUAUUAAUUUAGGUCCCUCCUACCAAAUAUAAUAUAUAUAAAUAUAAUAUAUUCAGCCCAGUUGAACAAAAAGCUCUUGAUAACUCAUUUUUUUCUUGUUAACAAGGCAGUCAAAAUCCUGACAAAUAUGUCAGCAUAGGAGUUUAAAAACACUAGAAAAAUAAAGAAUAUUACGUACAAAAUGAGCAUAUGGAGAUCCCCAGCAAAGCCUUUAAUUUUUUUUUUAAUGACAAAUACAGUCUUUACUGCUUGUUAUAACUCUAAUGAAAUGUUCUAACUACUUCUCAGUGAUGCUAUGGCUCACACCUGUUAGCAGCUAUCCUUAUCUUAAAUUCAAAUCUUGCUUCCCAUAGAGUAUGGCAGAACUUCCCAGUAUUGCAGACUAACUCAGCUCUCAAUCAUUUUAUAAAGACAGUAUUUUGAUCACAACUGCCCACCACUCUCACUCUGUUAAAAUACAAUUUGCUUUGUAUAGCCUCCAAUCCUUAAGCCUCCCCUUGGGUAUGAUGCCUCCUUUACACAGUGUCACUGAAAAGCUCUGCCUUACUGAGGCAGUCCUUGUUGCUCCUUUAAGAAAGGUCCAGCCCAAGACCAUGUCCCCUAGAAGAAAUGAUGCUUAGGUCAUUCAAAAAUAACAAAGAUUUACCUAAUGCAGGUGAGAAAGCCUAAGCUGAAAGUUCCAACUAAGGUCAGAACAUGAUGUAUAGAUCACUUUCUCCUAGAAAGCCUCUGUUCUCAUAGAAGAAGAGGCCUCUGUUGAGAAACAGCUUGCUCGGCAGCACGUAGUUACUGAUUUACUAAUGAUUUAUGAUGUAAUGAUGUAAUCCCUAGAUACGUGGAAUGUGGUGUUUCCAGUGUGUUCUAGUAUAUUUCAGCAUAUCCAUAAUAUUCUGUAUCCAUAGUGUUGUAGUUAACAACAUAUCCCAUAUAUGGAGAUUACUCGGGUAACGAUAUUGUUAGCGUGCGCGCUGCAUAGAGCUUGUAUCCCUGGACCCUGUAUCCCUGGAAGCAUAUACGCUAUAUAAGAUGGUGUGUUGUUACAAUAAAGUUGAAGCUGCAUAACCUCACAUUGAGUGUCAGGCUUCCGCGCGCUUUGGAGGGCAACCCUGUGGGAAGCGUGGGGAGUUUCCCAACAGGCCUCAAGAUGGUCUACAGCUUCUCACAAGCGGAGUGGAGGAGCAGCGCUGAUCUUUGCUCUCCGAUGACAGUGACAGGACCUGAGGGAAUAGCAUGGAACUGCAUCAGGGGAAGGAGAUACUGAAGCAAUUUGAGAUGACAGUCCUGGACCACAUUUGUUACUGAUGACAAGAAGUGAUGUUACCAGAGUCAAAAUGGUAGUCCAUUUAGUGACAACAUAUCAAUUCUCCAUUGAAGUAGAAGUUCAAGAUUGAGCCCACAGUGGUAAAGUGAUGUGUACGAUCUUUUGGGAUAAGAAAGGGGUGACCCUUCUGGAUUUCCUGGAACCUGAAUAAACCGUCAACUCUGACCUCUAUAUCCCAGCACUGGCUAAGCUGAAGACUCGAAUUUCCAGAGUCUAGACAGAGAAGAGAGAAGAUGACAAACCUUCUCUUGCAAAACAAUAACACCAGGCCCCAUUUCAGUUUGAAGACCAUGGAGCUCAUUACCAGUCUUGUUCUACCACAUCCACUGUAUAGUCCAGACUUGGCAGUUUCUGACUUCCGUUUGAGUGAAUGAAAGAUGAACUAUGUGGGCAGCAUUUUCCUAGCAUUGACAUCAUUGUAGCAGUUGAGAAACGGCGGGUCACCUCUGCUCGCACAGACUUUUAUGAACACAGCACGCAGGCUCUUAUUCACUGCUUCUGAAAAUGCAUAGCUAAUGGUGGACUAUGUUGAAAAGUAGUGUUUGUCGCUGAGAAUUUGCUCUACCAAAUAGUGUUCUCAUGCUCUUUGUAUCAUGGAAAUAAGUAGGAGACAUUACUUUCAAGAAGACAUAUGUAUAUGCUCCAUAUAAUUAUUCCACAAACAGAAGCUAUAGUGUGAAUUUCAUAACAUCUGCAGGAUCAGCUAUCUAUUGUAGAAUGCCUUCUUCCCCAGUGGGCAGCCUGUAAAAUGUUAACAAUAACAUUCAAAAAAACUAAUUUGUAGAAGCUAAAAAUAAAUGCUGUGUGACAAGAGUUUCAAGUAUAAGCAAAGAGGAAAUUCAGGUGCUGUAAAGAAAUUGUAAGAUUAAAAAAAAUGUUGCUAAAGGUGCAACCAAUUGCUCACAAAUAAAUGCAAUAUAGUUGCUAUUCCUAAAGCACCCAUACCUUUUUUGGUGAUUUUUAUUAGGUAGGGUACAGUUCUGUUUCUUAACAUUACAUUCAUAUAUCAGCAAUUGCGGCAAGCACCCACACGACACAUCUACGCUUGUUUAUUUUAUUAAUUAUUCCCGUAAACAUAAGCAGGAAGGUAAGUCUUCUGAUGAAAACAAAUUCUAAAUCUCAAUAAAUCAGGCAGAGACUGAGAAAGAUUUACUAGGUAUUUGACUCAGGUCAUACUGAAUGAUAUAUUGAAAGCAUACACAAUAUUUUUUGAUGCUUCCAAGAUGAUUUAUGUUUUGAAAUAACCCAAUAAAUAUGUCUUCCUUUCUCCUCAA
Long non-coding RNA from Numida meleagris (helmeted guineafowl), 4905 nucleotides. RefSeq lists it as uncharacterized. Lineage: Eukaryota; Metazoa; Chordata; Aves; Galliformes; Numididae. The transcript has 2 exons. The record is from RefSeq and is a predicted model, not a curated record.